CAAACAAAAAACAUUCCACGGCCAGAACACAAGACAAAAAAUUUCAUUCUUUUUCAAUCCCAAACCAGCAACCAAAACGAGAACAAUUUUCCUCCCAUUUUUUCUUACAAUCCAAACCUUUCCAAUCAACCAACCAAACAAACACAAAUUUCGAACCAGAACAUUACUAAGACAAGAUCAACAACCAAACUCACAGAUCCGGUAACCACACACAAAACCGAUCCAAACCCACAACACACACGUCACAAGAACACAAACUAUUCUCACAACAACAACAACAAACCGUCACAAACAAAUCCGUUCAAGAAGAAAAGAAAUUAAUUGUGGACGACGGGAAGAAGGAUGUCUACGACUUUGGAAGUGUGCUUUUUGAAUUGAUGACAGGGAAAACAUAUAAUGAAUUGUCGCGUUCAUCUGACACUACUAAUCUAUGUGGUAACCCUUUGAGUUUUUAUAAUGUUAUUGAUAAAUCUUUGACCGGGGAAGGACUUGAAAAUGAAGUUUGUACUCUCAUUAAGAUUGCCUGUGAGUGUGUUCACCCUUUUCCAGACCAAAGGUCAACAAUGCUUGAAGUUUACAACAAUAUGAGCAAUGACAGGAAGCCACCAAAUGGUUAUGGUGAUGAUUCUGACACAUUAAGGGGAUUUGAAUAUGCAGCCAUAGGUUUUGUAAUGUCGUAAAAAAGUAAGUAUCAUUGUGAGAAAAAGUUGUAUAAUAUGUAUAAUACGUCUCCCCCACGCCACAUAUAUUAAAAAAGUGAACAUGAACUCCAUCGUCUA
Molecule: long non-coding RNA, 779 nt
Organism: Medicago truncatula (barrel medic)
Lineage: Eukaryota; Viridiplantae; Streptophyta; Magnoliopsida; Fabales; Fabaceae
Exons: 2
Source: RefSeq, a predicted model, not a curated record